CUACUCUAAUAAGGCUUUAAUAUCUGGAGCUCAUAGGUGGGAGAUAAAGUAUGCAUACUUACAAGACAUUUAUUGCAUAGUCAAACCAUGGAUCCAGAGAAACAAGUCAAUAAGUCAAAUCAAGAUGUGCAUGUAUGGCGAAUGAAUGGUGUAUGGUGAUGAUGGUGAUAACAAUGGUGAAAGUCUAAUUCUACUUGUGCUCUUUUGAGCGAAUACAUACCUUUCUUGCUCUUUUGAAACUUUUUUGAGGAGAAUUAGAUGCUCUAUAUUUUCUUUUUCUUUCCUCUCAGGUGGGUAUCUUGUAUCCCUAAUUCUACUGUUGGACACUUGUCCAUUUUUUACCUCUCGUCUCACUUUUUCUUUUCUUUCGAGGUUCCGGUCACUUGCCCCUUUUUAUUUCCUCGUAUCUUCUCU
RNAcentral lists this long non-coding RNA (414 nucleotides) under Sorghum bicolor (sorghum). Its description in RNAcentral is "long non-coding RNA (SBIC_LNC002843)". Lineage: Eukaryota; Viridiplantae; Streptophyta; Magnoliopsida; Poales; Poaceae. The record is from RNAcentral.